Molecule: ribosomal RNA, 775 nt
Filed under: uncultured Neocallimastigales
Lineage: Eukaryota; Fungi; Neocallimastigomycota; Neocallimastigomycetes; Neocallimastigales
Description: partial large subunit ribosomal RNA
Rfam family: Eukaryotic large subunit ribosomal RNA
Source: RNAcentral
UACUAGAGUAGCACUCGCAUAUCAAUAAGCGGAGGAAAAGAAACUAACAAGGAUUCCCCUAGUAACGGCGAGUGAAGCGGGAAGAGCUCAAAUUUGAAAUCUUAAAGGGUUUCCCUUUACGAAUUGUAGUUUAAAGAAGUGUUUUCUGUUGAGGUUUUGGUAAAAGUUCUUUGGAAUAGGACAUCAUAGAGGGUGAGAAUCCCGCUAUUUGACCUUUACUUUCAACUUUGUGAUACACUUUCAAAGAGUCGGAUUGUUUGGGAAUGCAGUCCAAAAUGGGUGGUAAAUUUCAUCUAAAGCUAAAUAUUGGCGAGAGACCGAUAGCGAACAAGUACCGUGAGGGAAAGAUGAAAAGAACUUUGAAAAGAGAGUUAAACAGUACGUGAAAUUGUCAAAAGGGAAGCGUUUGACACCAGUGUUGUUUUUCUGAAAAUCAAUUAAAGAACUGUUUAUGCUAAGCUGUUUAGACUUUAUCAGCUAACUGUUUAGUUUUGAGCUUUUCUUUAAUGCACUUUUCAGUUAACAAGUCAACAUCAAUUUCUUUUGCUGUAAAAAAGCUUGAGGAAGGUGGCUUGAGAUUCGUCUUAAGUGUUUAUAGCCUCUUGCCUAUGCAGUCGGAGAGAUUGAGGUCUGCAGCGUAGAUCCUUCGGGGCUAAAUGCAUUUGUGCUAAGUUAUAGCAUUUUAUAGACAACUUGUUGACUAUGAUUUGUCUUGUAGCUUACUCGCUUAUGUUAUUUUACCUACGCUUAGGAUGUUGAUCUCUCACAGUCGAGC